Molecule: ribosomal RNA, 447 nt
Filed under: uncultured bacterium
Lineage: Bacteria
Description: partial 16S ribosomal RNA
Rfam family: Bacterial small subunit ribosomal RNA
Source: RNAcentral
UUCCAGACUCCUACGGGAGGCAGCAGUGGGGAAUAUUGCACAAUGGGGGAAACCCUGAUGCAGCAACGCCGCGUGAAGGAAGACGGUUUUCGGAUUGUAAACUUCUGUUCUUAGUGAAGAAGAAUGACGGUAGCUAAGGAGCAAGCCACGGCUAACUACGUGCCAGCAGCCGCGGUAAUACGUAGGGGGCAAGCGUUAUCCGGAUUUACUGGGUGUAAAGGGAGCGCAGGCGGCACGGCAAGCCUGAUGUGAAAGCCCGCGGCCCAACCGCGGGACUGCAUUGGGAACUACCGGGCUGGAGUGCCGGAGAGGUAGGCGGAAUUCCUAGUGUAGCGGUGAAAUGCGUAGAUAUUAGGAGGAACACCCGUGGCGAAGGCGGCCUACUGGACGGUGACUGACGCUGAGGCUCGAAAGCGUGGGGAGCAAACAGGAUUAGAUACCCUUGUA